This 418-nucleotide long non-coding RNA is filed under the name Salvia miltiorrhiza (redroot sage). Its description in RNAcentral is "long non-coding RNA (SMIL_LNC014406)". The record is from RNAcentral. Lineage: Eukaryota; Viridiplantae; Streptophyta; Magnoliopsida; Lamiales; Lamiaceae.
UUAAAUAACCAAGGGAUUCAUAAACAAAGAGAAUCAAAGGGAGUUCUUACAAAACAUAGCAAUCCAAGGAAAACCAAUCCGAUGAAGUGUUAAUUGACAUCCAAAGCAAUCCAAUGAAUCCAAGAUUGAAAGUAAGUGUUGUGGAACUCUAAAAACCUUAAGAAAGAGGUGAAAAUCGCCUCUAGAGGCUGCUGGGUUCGAAGAUGAUAAAGUAAAACCCUAGAAAGGGGUUUUUAAUCGAAAAAUCGUACUUUCGGAUCUGAACAGAGGCGGCGGCGCCGUGGGACGGCGGCCGCCGUGCACGGCGCGCGCCGUGCCACGGCGCCGCCGUGUAUGCCUUUCGCAGACUGCAAUGCGCAGCGUUUUUGUUUUGGUCCGUUCUCCCUCGUUUCAAGUCGGAUUUUAGAUCCGUUUUCGC